UGGGGAAUAUUGCACAAUGGGCGCAAGCCUGAUGCAGCCAUGCCGCGUGUAUGAAGAAGGCCUUCGGGUUGUAAAGUACUUUCAGCGGGGAGGAAGGGAGUAAAGUUAAUACCUUUGCUCAUUGACGUUACCCGCAGAAGAAGCACCGGCUAACUCCGUGCCAGCAGCCGCGGUAAUACGGAGGGUGCAAGCGUUAAUCGGAAUUACUGGGCGUAAAGCGCACGCAGGCGGUUUGUUAAGUCAGAUGUGAAAUCCCCGGGCUUAACCCGGGAAUUGCAUCUGAUACUGGUCAGCUAGAGUCUUGUAGAGGGGGGUAGAAUUCCAGGUGUAGCGGUGAAAUGCGUAGAGAUCUGGAGGAAUACCGGUGGCGAAGGCGGCCCCCUGGACAAAGACUGACGCUCAGGUGCGAAAGCGUGGGGAGCAAACAGG
This 429-nucleotide ribosomal RNA is filed under the name Chloroflexota bacterium. RNAcentral describes it as "Chloroflexi bacterium partial 16S ribosomal RNA". It matches the Rfam family "Bacterial small subunit ribosomal RNA", at positions 355 to 776 of the family's 1533-position model. Lineage: Bacteria; Bacillati; Chloroflexota. The record is from RNAcentral.